Molecule: long non-coding RNA, 1872 nt
Organism: Macaca fascicularis (crab-eating macaque)
Lineage: Eukaryota; Metazoa; Chordata; Mammalia; Primates; Cercopithecidae
Source: Ensembl
UUUUUUUUUUUUUUUUUUUUUUUUUUUUUUUAGUAGAGACGGGGUUUCACCAUGUUGGCCAGGAUGGUCUCGAUCUCUUGUCCUCGUGAUCCGCCAGCCUUGGCCUCCCAAAGUGCUGGGAUUACAGGCGUGAGCCACCACGCUCAGCCGCCUCAUUUCUUAACCAUCUUUGUGGCUCAGUUUAGAGUCGCUCCUCAGGGAAGUUUGCUGAGUUAGGUACCUUCUUUGGAGCAUAGGUAUUUUCUCCAUCCGAGCUAUUGAAAUGGUUUGCCUGUAUCCCUACCUAGAUAGUAAACUCCACUGAAUCAGGAACCAUGUCUGUUCAGUUUCUCCCUAGGGCCUUGUAGUAGGGUAGAUGGUCAGUAAAUACUGUUGAAGGCAUUAAUAUUUAUUUUAAUCCUGGCCCUGGCUAUAAGCCUCAAAAGUUUGCAGUUUUCUGCAUUUAACUUCAAAUUAUUUGAUUGGUAAUGCAUGCAUGUGGUUAGCCUGUGCUGUAAUUUAGAUGUUUGUCCCCCUAAACCUCCUGUUGAAACUUGAUCCCCAAUGUUGGAGGUAGGGACUAAUGGGCAGUGUUGGGUCAUGGAGGUGGUUCCUUCAUGAAUAGAUUAACGUCCUCCCUGGGAAGGGGGUAACUCUUUAUUUCCCUGAGAGCUGGCUAAAAAGAACGUCGCACUUCCCUUCUUUUUCUUCCUCUCUGGCCAUGUAAUCUCUGCACACACCAGCUCUCCUUUGCCUUCUGCUGUGAGUAUAAGCAGUCUUAAGCUCCCAUCAGAUGCAGAUGCUCAGUCUUGAACUUUUCCAGACAUCAGAACCAUAAGCCAAAUAAACCUUUUUUAUUUAUAAAUUAUCCAGCCUUGGGUAUUCCUUUCUAGCAGCACUAAAGGGACUAAGACAACCUGCCAUAUGUAGGAUCACAAGGUCAAGCACAAAUUUAUCUAUCUAUGCUGUACUAUCCUCAGGUUGGCUGAGACAAGUAGACCAUGAAACUUGGCAACAGCUACUCUAUGUCUACAUUCUAUUAUUGGCAUCCAAAGUGAAUAUUGGCGGUGGAUUUUGAGUUUAUUCUAAGGGUUUAAAUAGCUUUGCAUGUUUUAUCAUGACUGGUAUGGACUGAAUUGCAUCCCCCCAAAAAAUUCAUAUGCUGAAGCCCUCACUCCUAAUGUGACUAUAUAAAUGUCCCUCAACUUACAAAGGGGUUAUGUUCCAAUAAACCCACCAUAAAUUGAAAAUACCAUAAGUUGAAAAGAUCGUAAGUCAAAAAUGCAUUUAAUGCUUCUAACCUACCAAACAUCAUAGCUUAGUGUAGCCUACCUAAAACGUGCUCAGAAUACUUACAUUAGCCUUCAGUUAGGCAAAAUCAUCUGACAGAAAGCUUAUUUUUUAAUAAAGUAUUAUUUCAUAUAAUCUACUAAAUAAUGAAAAACUGGAUGAUUUUAUGGGUACUCUUUAAAGUACAGAUUCUAGAGUGCAUAUGGCUUUUGCACCACCAUGAAGUCAAAAAAAUCUUAAGUCAGGGACUAUCUCUAUUUGGGGCUAAGCCUUUAGGGAGGUAAUAAAAAUUAAAUUAGGUCAUAAGAGUGGGGCCCUAAUCCCAUAAGAUUAAUGUCCUUAUAGAAAGUGGCACCAGAGAGCUCUCUCCAUUUGAGAACACAGCAAAACAGACAUCUGCAAGCCAGUGAGAGAGCCCUCACCCAAAACUGACCAUGCCAGCACCCUCUUUUGGACCUCCCAACCUACAGAACUUUGAAAAAAUAAACUUCUGUUGUGUAAGCCACCCAAUCUAGUAUUUUGUUAAUGGCAGCCCAAGCUAAUACAAUGGUUUUAUUUGUUGAUACAUUUUAUAAAGUUUACAGACUGAGAUAUUAAUAUUAU